UCAUGUUUGGUUCUAUCUCAGGUCUCUGGGU
RNAcentral lists this non-coding RNA (31 nucleotides) under Mus musculus (house mouse). Lineage: Eukaryota; Metazoa; Chordata; Mammalia; Rodentia; Muridae. The record is from RNAcentral.